AGAAUAAUGAGCAGAUGGUGUAACUUUGGUGUAACCUACAAACUAUAUAACAUCCAGCACGUCAAGCUUACACGAAAACGAGGAAAGUUUCAAUCGGUAAAUCAAUAAUGGAAUAACACUGAACAGAUAUUGAGAUACAACGUUGCGCUGGUAUUCCAAUAGCCAAGAUCAGUUUACGUGAAAUGCUACAGUCUUUCCAGGCAUUCUCCAACUAGAACGGACCAAUGGAAACUGUUAUGCGCACCAGUUCCAGCAACAUCUGGUUGUCGCAACCGGCAACUGGCAACCAACAAUAUAUACCGGUACUCAGCGAUGCGAGAGAAUUGCAUAACCGUCAGCACCCAGCGCAGUUGGAUGGAGGUAUGCUAAUUCAAUAAUCUAUGUGUGUAUUCCCUGAACUACGUAUUCCUGAAUGCGGAUCGAUAACUAAUGAAAGCAAUAGGAACCUCUAAUCUACAAAAGUGGAUACAUUGAGUAGUAAUGUCCGGCUAUAAAAUAUUUUCACCGUGAUCUAAAAUUGUAUGGGAUAAUUUCACGGCAGUUCGGUAUGAAUACAUAAAGAUAUAGAUGCAUUAUAUAAACAGUCAAGUGCUACUGGAUUCACGCUGCGCUGAUUCGGAGUUACGAACGAUCCUGUAGAAAGUGAUUUUUGUGAGUAUUGCUACGUAAAUAUUCGGUAAGUAAAAGUCGGUAAUGAAUAGUACAAUCGUAAGGUAUUAUAUGCUUUGGCAUAAAUAAUUAUGGUAUCUUAAGGAUAAGACUAAACUAUAGUUAAACACGACUUAUACGUACCUACGAUAUCCUAGGAACUAUAGUAUUAUAUUACUACAGUAUAAUACUAUGUGCAGUUAUCGUCGAGUCACCGUUUACAAUGAACAGUGUAAGAAUAGUUGGAAACCAGUUUUCAAAUGUCACCUAUGUACUUUAAUGCAAUCGAAUAAACGGUUCGAUCCUGUUUCGUAAACAAAGGAACAUUUUAUUUUAAUGAUAGAAAAAUUAAGAACAUGACUUUCAUGGGUGUCAUUGUACGACGUAUUUGGCUGACUUGUUUCUGACGUAUUAUAAAUACUGUAUAUAUUAUUUAUGUUAUCUAGAUAAAAAUUGAUGAUAAUUAUUUAGGUACACGGUGCAUCUGCCUACAUCUGGAUUGCUGUGCCUGAUAACAUCAUAUGGAUAAGAAGCUCUUGUGUCAAGUCUAUGCAAUUGAAGUUUCGCGUGCAGAGAUACUGCUGCACUUUGCAGUAAAUACAUAUACGUAUACAUAGUUGCACGGAAAGACGUUAGAUAUACGUAACAUGCAGUUAACGUAGAACGCGUAACAAGAUUAAGAUUGAUGAGAAAGCAGAAGACUCUUCGUGCAUCUCGAGCCAAUCGAGAGGAUCCAAUCAAGUUAAUGGUUUGCUGCUUGUUAAUUAUACUAAUUAAAACCUCGUGGUUCCAUAUAGAUUACAUAGCUAUUUAUUCUAUCUUGAAAAUGUAUAUCGAUUUUUUAUUUUGGAUAGCUCUACACUAACUUCCCUUGUGAUUAUCAAUAACGCGACUAAGAGUGUAUAAUAAUCGAAGAUAGCGAUUAUAUAUUAUAUUUCAUAUAAAUCAUUGCUCGCCUAGAUCGUAAAUGGAUUUUUAAACGUAACGCGCCACUAAACAAAUAAAAGCGAACCUUAAGUAAAUAGGUUAUUCCGUUACUGGUGGACGUACUAUGUACGUACAUAUAGUUAUAUAGCACAGUAUAAGUACACGGGUGGAUACUAAAUAAAGCAUGAGAAAUUUCUGACCGUGUAUUGUUCUUAAUUGAAAAUCUCGAUUCUUGCGUAAAACAUAAUCUUUUUCUCUCGUACACCGCAGCCGAUUAACCAUCACAAAUUUCUUAUAUAAACUACACGUAAAAGCAUGUAAAAGUCUCUCAUAAAGUCUCAGUAACAAAACAAUAGAGAAAGUGUACAGUAACGCGUCGCAGUAUAUACAUAUACAUGAUUGUUCUAAAAGACUAUUAAUAAUCGAAGAAAUAUUGUCAAUGAGAAAACAAAAAAUUUCAAUAUAAAAGAAAAAGCGUCAUUCAUUCAUCGAUUAAUUCAUUGAUCGAUUUCAUAGAAAUUUCCUGAAGUUUAUCCAGCGAUGCAACGCGACUGCAUUCAUGCCCAUUAAUUUAUUCAAUACAUCACACAAAUCCAAUAUCGAUAAGCUAUUCGAUCGAUGUAACCUCGUAUACGCACAUGUGACGUCGCAUAAUUCAAAUAACAACAGAACGAUUGAUACUUUCAGCAAAUAGCAACUUUCCACUCCUAAGCAUACCAGUGCAUCGUAUGCAGUCCUUAUGCACUUUUCUUACAGAAGACUCGCUAAAAUGCACAGCUUCCUAGUUUCUUAUACCAAUGUUCCCCUUCACCGGUUAUAUAUAUUUUUAUCAGAAAACAAAAAGAUUUAAAAAAAAAUGUGACCAACCAAUUUUCCUCCAACGUAAUUUCUCACCUGAUCACGAAUUACGGGGAGAUUGCAUUCUUUUCCAGGAUUUUAACUCGUUUCAGGGAAAUAACUCGAGUACGAAGAAUCGAUGUAAAACUCAAUGGCACGUAUAUAUACGCAAAUGCAUCCCGAUCGCUACCGUGCAUGCCAGUGCAUGUUUAAAUGCAUGAGCCAUUCGGACCUGAGUGCAUAAGGGAAUGCAGCCAGACAUUAUGCACAUGAGGCUCCGUGCUUGUCAAAGCAUUCUCGUAUGCGUCGUGUCACCAUGCGAUGCAUCAGGACGUAUAUCGACAUUAACCAGGAGUCCAUCCGAUUACCAUCAGCUUUGACGACGAAGAAGAAUCGAAGGCCGGAAAUCGAUUAUUUUUUUCUGCUGAUCGACCCUUGAAUUCCACAUUGGUCAAAAUUCGCACCCAGCAGUAUGGAUUUUAAAGAUGCUCGAGCGAGAUGCGACGUACGAGGAUCGAUCGACGUGUGGAAGAAAGGGAUCUACAGCGAAAUUCCAUCUUGGCUUGGUCCUGGAUAAACAGAACGAAAGUGAAAAGCGUUUAGAAAGUAUAAUUCGUGCGUGGAACAAUAUUUGAUAGCCAUUAAGAAAGAGUGUCUUAAUGAGUGUGUGAUCUCGUUUAUCAUACUAAUUAGUUUGGAGAUCAAUUUUUUUUUUUUAAAGCGUCCCACGCGUGGGCACCAGUACCAUACACAGUUGAGUUGGACCGAUGAGCAAUGAACGUGCCUCUGCGAAACGUGCAAAUUUAUUUUUGUAUAUAAUAUAAAUCAGCUGUCUGAUCGGCGUCGAUCUGUUAAUUAAUACAGUGGUAAUACAGUUAAUCGAAUUACGUUAUGAGUUCAUAAAUUUAUAUAUGGUUAAGCUAUAUCGCAUUGGUUAACUGCAUUUAAUUUAUUGCGGUUAUAUACUAGUACACGAUUGCGUUAUUGUACGAAUAUAGUACUAUUAAAGGACGAGAAAGUUUUACGUGAAUCAAAGUACGGGCGGAAUUUAUUUUCGUCUUCGUUCAGCACUCGUACAUCGAGUGUUCAAUACAGUGAUAGAUUUGGGUCACGUGUUCAAUUUCGUUUAACCAAAUAGCCACGGCUAUCUUUUUUUUACUCUUUAACGCGAAGAUACCUAGUCGAGUAAGAAAUGAAUGCAAACAGAAAGUUGUUAAAUAUUAUUAAUCCCGUGUCACAAACUUUCCUAAGUCAUUCGUUAUGAAAUCGGUUUAGUGUUAAAACCUUAUUGAUUUUCUUUUAUUGUAAAAGUCAUGGACAUUUAGAAUUACAUUGGCAGCGUGGCCGAUAGCACGAAGGGCUGGGUACGGAUAUUUAAGUCAACGGUAUCUCUGUCCUUCUCUUACGCGCGGUAAACCCCAUCGGUCCGUCUCUCUCGCACUCGCAGCUAUUGUGAUUUUACACGAUUUUUUCAUAUAAAAGGCCGAAUAUGUAAUUUGCAUUGAUCUAAAUUUAUUUGACGACUGUUCUCUGUUCAGCUGUUACGUUCAUACUGGACAGUUAGACUGGAGGUAGGGACUGUAAAUUCGACGAUUGCAUCGCCAAAGGCAGAUCUGGAGAUCGCGUCGUUAACUUAUCUCGUAGACUCUCACUGCCGAUUCAAAUGAGCUUCGACGUUACGGCAAGGGUACGGGAGAUCUCUAAAAACAGAACUAAGGAUUCGAUAAAUAAUUCGAACACGACUUUAAUUGCCGCCAAUUAAUGAAUUUCUCUCGGAUUUCCAAUGACAAAAAUUCUUUACCCAAUUUAACGGGCUCGGUGUAUUUGCGAACGCACGAACAGGUAUCUUUUCGUGUCAAACGUUCAUUGUGAACCUCUCUCCAUUGUUCGUCUGUUUCUACAGACCUGCAUGCCCAUCGAUCCGAAAUCGCUACAAUAGAAAUUAGGCUUGUUACAUUAUUAGCCCGUUAAAUGAAUCGUAUACCUACACCUGCGGCGAUUUCAAUUACGUAAAAGCGACGACGACGCUCUCAUGUGAAUUCGCCGAAAUGUCUCGAUCGUCGAUCCUGUUCAUCACGAGUUCCCAUUGUUCAUGGAAAUUAAUGGCGGAUCCGCAAUAGGCAGUCAGUCCUUCCCUGUUAAAUUA
Cephus cinctus (wheat stem sawfly) is the source of this 4558-nucleotide long non-coding RNA. RefSeq lists it as uncharacterized. The transcript is spliced from 5 exons. The record is from RefSeq and is a predicted model, not a curated record. Lineage: Eukaryota; Metazoa; Arthropoda; Insecta; Hymenoptera; Cephidae.